AAAAUCCGUCGAUUUCAAAAAUCGUGAGGGUUCAAGUCCCUCUAUCCC
Molecule: transfer RNA, 48 nt
Filed under: Inula salicina
Lineage: Eukaryota; Viridiplantae; Streptophyta; Magnoliopsida; Asterales; Asteraceae
Description: partial tRNA-Leu
Source: RNAcentral